RNAcentral lists this transfer RNA (73 nucleotides) under Deltaproteobacteria bacterium. Its description in RNAcentral is "tRNA-Val". It matches the Rfam family "tRNA". Rfam says of the family: Transfer RNA (tRNA) molecules are approximately 80 nucleotides in length. Their secondary structure includes four short double-helical elements and three loops (D, anti-codon, and T loops). Lineage: Bacteria; Pseudomonadati; Myxococcota; Myxococcia. The record is from RNAcentral.
GGGCGGUUAACUCAGUUGGUAGAGUAUCAGCCUUACAAGCUGAGAGUCACAAGUUCGAGCCUUGUACCGCCCA